GGAGAGGUGGCAGAGUGGUCGAAUGCGGCGGUCUCGAAAACCGUUGUGCGGGCAACCGUACCGAGGGUUCGAAUCCCUCCCUCUCCGCCA
Molecule: transfer RNA, 90 nt
Filed under: Allosphingosinicella sp.
Lineage: Bacteria; Pseudomonadati; Pseudomonadota; Alphaproteobacteria; Sphingomonadales; Sphingomicrobiaceae
Also listed under: 2 other names
Description: tRNA-Ser
Rfam family: tRNA
About the family: Transfer RNA (tRNA) molecules are approximately 80 nucleotides in length. Their secondary structure includes four short double-helical elements and three loops (D, anti-codon, and T loops).
Source: RNAcentral